UUUAGGGAGACCUAUCCCUCAAUCACUCUGAACCAAUUUGAAUUAAGAGGAUUGAGUGGUCACUCUAGGUCGAGCAGGGCUUUGAGUAGAGUUUCUAGACUAGGGUUGAGGUUUAUUUUUUAGUCUUACGGGGCUAGAGAACUAAACACGGGCUAUUAGCUCAGGUGGUUAGAGCGCACCCCUGAUAAGGGUGAGGUCCCUGGUUCGAGUCCAGGAUGGCCCACUUGUGGGGGUUUAGCUCAGUUGGUAGAGCGCCUGCUUUGCAAGCAGGAUGUCAGCGGUUCGAGUCCGCUAACCUCCACCACGAAAGCAUGGAUGUAAUUCAGCACAUUGAGACUGACUGAAUAAGUCAGGUUAAGUCUUAAUCUGCUGGGUGAGAGCCUAGCGAAGAACCUUGAAAACUGAAUACGAGAGAAGUGUAAGGUAGUACACACAGAACAUUCAGAGUUCGUUGAGAGAAGAGUGAACUUGAUUAGUUUCGACUAAUUGAGUGAA
RNAcentral lists this transfer RNA (495 nucleotides) under Nodosilinea sp. ATA11-6B-CV9. RNAcentral describes it as "16S-23S ribosomal RNA intergenic spacer". The stretch from base 229 to 301 matches the Rfam family "tRNA". Lineage: Bacteria; Bacillati; Cyanobacteriota; Cyanophyceae; Nodosilineales; Nodosilineaceae. The record is from RNAcentral.